UACGUAGGGGGCAAGCGUUGUCCGGAAUCAUUGGGCGUAAAGAGCGUGUAGGCGGCCCGAUAAGUCCGCCGUGAAAGUCCAGGGCUCAACCCUGGAAUGCCGGUGGAAACUGUCGGGCUGGAGUCCGGAAGAGGCGAGUGGAAUUCCUGGUGUAGCGGUGAAAUGCGCAGAUAUCAGGAAGAACACCCGUGGCGAAAGCGGCUCUCUGGGACGGUACUGACGCUGAGACGCGAAAGCGUGGGGAGCGAACAGG
RNAcentral lists this ribosomal RNA (253 nucleotides) under uncultured bacterium. Its description in RNAcentral is "partial 16S ribosomal RNA". It matches the Rfam family "Bacterial small subunit ribosomal RNA", at positions 524 to 776 of the family's 1533-position model. The record is from RNAcentral.